UAUUUUUUGGUGUAUGAUGCACAGGAAUUUUUGAUGUUCUGGGAGUAGUUUGAUUCUACAUGAAAUAA
This 68-nucleotide transfer RNA is filed under the name Pseudolestes mirabilis. RNAcentral's name for it is "tRNA-Gln". Lineage: Eukaryota; Metazoa; Arthropoda; Insecta; Odonata; Pseudolestidae. The record is from RNAcentral.